Molecule: long non-coding RNA, 1686 nt
Organism: Oncorhynchus tshawytscha (Chinook salmon)
Lineage: Eukaryota; Metazoa; Chordata; Actinopteri; Salmoniformes; Salmonidae
Source: Ensembl
CUGCUGUGGUUAAAACUCAGUUCAGUGCUCUACCAGAAUGUACAAGGAUAUGUCUUGUCUUUUACAGAGGAAGAGGGACCUGCUGUGGUUAAAACUCAGUUCAGUGCUCUACCAGAAUGUACAAGGAUAUGUCUUGUCUUGUACAGAGGAAGAGGGACCUGCUGUGGUUAAAACUCAGUUCAGUGCUCUACCAGAAUGUACAAGGAUAUGUCUUGUCUUUUACAGAGGAAGAGGGACCUGCUGUGGUUAAAACUCAGUUCAGUGCUCUACCAGAAUGUACAAGGAUAUGUCUUGUCUUUUACAGAGGAAGAGGGACCUGCUGUGGUUAAAACAAGAACUGCGCUCAAAGGUUGGACAAUGGGUCCUGGAAUAAUAGUUUGCAUUUGUUGUAGUGGAGAACCAUUCUAUCUAUAUUAUAGAUUCAUUCUAUAACAUAGAACAGUUCCAAGGCUUUCCAGUCAGUACGUUCUGGUAAUAUUAUCUACAUGAGGUCCCAUAGGUUGGCCCAUCUACACAAAAGGUGCUAUAUAGAACCGAAAAAGGUUCUUCAGCUGUCCCCAUAGGAUAACCCUUUGAAGUACCCUUUUUGGUUCCAGGUAGAAACUUUUUGGGUUGCCAAAACGGUUCUACCUGGAUUCAAAAUGGAACCAAAAAGGGUUCUACUUGGAACCCAAAAGGGUUCUCCUAUGGGCACAGCCAAAUAAGCCUUUUGGAACCCUUUUUUCUAAGAGUGUAAUAUUCAAUUCCGUUUCUCUUCUAGAAACUGAUUAAAACUGUCUGAAAGUUGAGGGUAGUCUCUGAUAGAAAGCUUGAAUCAUUAAUGACCUCAGCUUUUCCCAAGGUAAAAUCGACCAAUAGGCUCUCACAGAGAUGGUACAUUUUCAAACCCACCCCUGAACACCUCUAGUGGUUUCAACAUCUUCCAGAGAGUUCUCCUGGUUAAUAUUAAUUUAUAAUACAUACAUACAGUACAUAUAUACAGAGAUAGAUAAGAUAGGACUGUAAGUUGUGAGGGGAUCAGCCUAUUGCCACGAUGACAGCAGCAACAGUCCCUUGGAGAAUGACAACGGCUGCAUCUGAAAUGAAGCCCUAUUCCCUAUUUAAUGCAUUACUGUUGACCGUCAGGUCCGUGUUAAACAUAGUGCACUAUAUAGGAAAAACGGUGCCAUUUUGGAUGCAUCCAAUGUGUUGGUUGUUCAACAAUCGCUGUGCGAGGAGCAGCAGAGGUGGUUUGAUGGGUCUCCAAAGCAACAAGCCCAAGCCUCGCCUGACAGACUUCAACCUAACCACACUAUUUCUCCCAGAAAUGAAUCAUUCAUAAUUCUCCUGUUUAAAUAAAGCUCAAUCAACCCCAAGAAAAAUAACUUGCGUUAUGAUAAUUAUUUAGAAAACAAAUAUUAGUCUGGCGUUAACUUGCACAGCCAGAUUUAUUUAGACACACCUGUCUGGUUCCACAAGACUAGGAUGGGACUUCUGGUUCCCUGUCUGGCUGGCUAUAACCCAGUGACUUCUGGUUCCUUUUCUGGUUAUAACUCAGUGACUAUGUUGGGCCUUCUGGUUCCUUGUCUGGUUAUAACUCAGUAACUAUGUUGGGCCUUCUGGUUCCCUGUCUGGUUAUAACUCAGUGACUAUGUUGGGCCUUCUGGUUCCUUGUCUGGUUAUAACUCAGUGACUAUGUUGGGCCUU